Molecule: ribosomal RNA, 253 nt
Filed under: uncultured bacterium
Lineage: Bacteria
Description: partial 16S ribosomal RNA
Rfam family: Bacterial small subunit ribosomal RNA
Source: RNAcentral
UACGUAGGGUGCGAGCGUUAAUCGGAAUUACUGGGCGUAAAGUGUGCGCAGGCGGCAGAGCAAGUCGAGUGUGAAAGCCCCGGGCUUAACUUGGGAAUUGCGCUCGAAACUACUUUGCUGGAGUGUGGCAGAGGAAGGUGGAAUUCCACGUGUAGCGGUGAAAUGCGCAGAUAUCGGGAGGAACACCGGUGGCGAAGGCGGUUCUCUGGGCCUUACCUGACGCUGAGGAGCGAAAGCGUGGGGAGCGAACAGG